GACUACAGGGGUAUCUAAGCCUGUUCGCUCCCCACGCUUUCGUGCCUCAGCGUCAGUUAUGGUUCAGUAAGCUGCCUUCGCAAUCGGUGUUCUGUGUAAUAUCUAAGCAUUUCACCGCUACAUUACACAUUCCGCCUACCUUAACCAUACUCAAGAUUAACAGUAUCAACGGCAAUGCUACAGUUAAGCUGCAGGAUUUCACCACUGACUUAUUAUUCCGCCUACGCACCCUUUAAACCCAAUAAAUCCGGAUAACGCUCGCAUCCUCCGUAUUACCGCGGCUGCUGGCACGGAGUUAGCCGAUGCUUAUUCACAGGUUACCGUCAAUCACCUACACGUAGAUAACAUUCUUGACCUGCAAAAGAAGUUUACGACGCAUAGCGCCUUCUUCCUUCACGCGGGAUGGCUGGUUCAGGCUUGCGCCCAUUGACCAAUAUUCCUCACUGCAGCCCCCCGUAGG
RNAcentral lists this ribosomal RNA (460 nucleotides) under uncultured Bacteroidota bacterium. RNAcentral describes it as "uncultured Bacteroidetes bacterium partial 16S ribosomal RNA". Lineage: Bacteria; Pseudomonadati; Bacteroidota. The record is from RNAcentral.